GGCAUGUCACAAUGGUGUCCCCACAUGAGGGGAGCAGAGCCCUGGGCAGCAUUCCCGGCCUGGUUUGGAAAGCCCCAAUCCUAGAAGCCAUGAUGACUGAGCUGUGCUGGGGUGCAAGUGAGAGACUUUCACACAUCGGCACUUUGUCCAGCUGCGGGGUCACAGUCACUGCAGCCCCUUGCUAUCACCUGCACACUGCAAGAUGCCACACAAAGAGGACGCUUGAAUUCCUGCAGCAGCAUGGGAGGCCUGCAGCUUUGCAUCCCUACAUGGCCUGGUCCUAUGCAACCUUGUGCUGUGAGCAGACAGCUGAAAUGGGAUAGGCACUUUUUCCUUUUAUGUUUGAUGGUGGUGAUGCAUCUUUCUGAGGAAUCCCCAGAGGAAUGACAAAGAAGAAAGCUGAAGAUGGCCAGAGGCCCACAGGCCAGGAGAAAGAAAUUACUGCCAGUGUGUUGCUGGCUAGAACAGAAGUUGAAGAGCACAAGUCAUCUCCAUUUCUCCACAACUAUUCCCAUGGCUCAGAUAUCCCUGGUAGUAAGAAAAAACUGCUGACAGAUCAUCUCAAGGACUUGCUCUCGACUGUGCCAAGCCCCAUUGGAG
This is a long non-coding RNA of Pezoporus occidentalis (night parrot), 600 nucleotides long. RefSeq lists it as uncharacterized. The record is from RefSeq and is a predicted model, not a curated record. The transcript is spliced from 3 exons. Lineage: Eukaryota; Metazoa; Chordata; Aves; Psittaciformes; Psittacidae.